Molecule: long non-coding RNA, 650 nt
Organism: Octopus sinensis (East Asian common octopus)
Lineage: Eukaryota; Metazoa; Mollusca; Cephalopoda; Octopoda; Octopodidae
Exons: 2
Source: RefSeq, a predicted model, not a curated record
GUGUGAACUGGAUGCUUUUUAUGUGGAGGAGGGGAUCUUGUGUCAGAUGAUGAAAAGUGACAGAGACAGAGGCAGAAACAGAUGUCUUGCUAUAGAGGAAGGGGCAUUGGAGGAGGUGAUCUUCUAUCAGAUGAUAAGAGGUUAUAAUGUGACAGAGAGAAAUGUGUGUGUGUGUAUGACUAUUUAAAAGACUCUAGAAUUCAUGUGUAUAUUUGAAGGUUAGGCUGUGUAUGUUGACCAAAUUGUCUUAUGGUCCUGAGUUUGAUUUUUAUGUUGCUCCAGUCUACUUAGCUAAAAAUCAGUACUUGCUGACUACCUGUGCAGCUCUAUCUCUCAUCAGCUGUUACAUUCUGGACAAUCUACUGCUUCAAGGGAUUAACAAAAGCAUUGUAUGUUGUUGUCAAGUCAUACUUUGCAAGUGAGGACUAUGCUUUUUUGUAAGUCUAUAUGCUUCUAGAGGCAAGUGUUAUUCACUGAGUAUAAAAGCAUUAAGAAAAUAGAUUCAACCUUCACUUAACAACUCAGAUUUCAUUAUUUUUUUCCUGUUUCUACUUCAAAAUAAAUGAUAUUUCAAAUUGAACCAUAUCCUAUGCAGUGUUCCCUCUAAGUUUGAUGCUUGUGCAUAUGCAUGUCUGUUUUACAUGUAGAAA